This 1163-nucleotide ribosomal RNA is filed under the name Leuconostoc carnosum. RNAcentral's name for it is "bacterial SSU rRNA". It matches the Rfam family "Bacterial small subunit ribosomal RNA", at positions 299 to 1454 of the family's 1533-position model. The record is from RNAcentral. Lineage: Bacteria; Bacillati; Bacillota; Bacilli; Lactobacillales; Lactobacillaceae.
ACUGAUCGGCCACAUUGGGACUGAGACCCGGCCCAAACUCCUACGGGAGGCUGCAGUAGGGAAUCUUCCCCAAUGGGCGAAAGCCUGAUGGAGCAACGCCGCGUGUUUGAUGAAGGCUUUCGGGUCGUAAAGCACUGUUGUAUGGGAAGAAAAGUUAAGGUAGGGAAUGACCUUAGCCUGACGGUACCAUACCAGAAAGGGACGGCUAAAUACGUGCCAGCAGCCGCGGUAAUACGUAUGUCCCGAGCGUUAUCCGGAUUUAUUGGGCGUAAAGCGAGCGCAGACGGUUGGUUAAGUCUGAUGUGAAAGCCCGGAGCUCAACUCCGGAAAGGCAUUGGAAACUGGUUAACUUGAGUGCAGUAGAGGUAAGUGGAACUCCAUGUGUAGCGGUGGAAUGCGUAGAUAUAUGGAAGAACACCAGCGGCGAAGGCGGCUUACUGGACUGUAACUGACGUUGAGGCUCGAAAGUGUGGGUAGCAAACAGGAUUAGAUACCCUGGUAGUCCACACCGUAAACGAUGAACACUAGGUGUUAGGAGGUUUCCGCCUCUUAGUGCCGAAGCUAACGCAUUAAGUGUUCCGCCUGGGGAGUACGACCGCAAGGUUGAAACUCAAAGGAAUUGACGGGGACCCGCACAAGCGGUGGAGCAUGUGGUUUAAUUCGAAGCAACGCGAAGAACCUUACCAGGUCUUGACAUCCUUUGAAGCUUUUAGAAAUAGAAGUGUUCUCUUCGGAGACAAAGUGACAGGUGGUGCAUGGUCGUCGUCAGCUCGUGUCGUGAGAUGUUGGGUUAAGUCCCGCAACGAGCGCAACCCUUAUUGUUAGUUGCCAGCAUUCAGAUGGGCACUCUAGCGAGACUGCCGGUGACAAACCGGAGGAAGGCGGGGACGACGUCAGAUCAUCAUGCCCCUUAUGACCUGGGCUACACACGUGCUACAAUGGCGUAUACAACGAGUUGCCAACCUGCGAAGGUGAGCUAAUCUCUUAAAGUACGUCUCAGUUCGGACUGCAGUCUGCAACUCGACUGCACGAAGUCGGAAUCGCUAGUAAUCGCGGAUCAGCACGCCGCGGUGAAUACGUUCCCGGGUCUUGUACACACCGCCCGUCACACCAUGGAAGUUUGUAAUGCCCAAAGCCGGUGGCCUAACCGUAAGGAGGGAACC